UACGGAGGGUGCGAGCGUUGUCCGGAAUCACUGGGCGUAAAGGGCGCGUAGGCGGCCUGGUAAGUAGGGGGUGAAAUCCUGCGGCUUAACCGCAGGGCUGCCUUCUAAACUGUCAGGCUAGAGCACGGUAGAGGCAGAUGGAAUUCCCGGUGUAGCGGUGGAAUGCGUAGAGAUCGGGAGGAACACCAAUGGCGAAGGCAGCUCGCUGGGACGGUACUGACGCUGAGGCGCGAAAGCGUGGGGAGCAAACAGG
RNAcentral lists this ribosomal RNA (253 nucleotides) under uncultured bacterium. Its description in RNAcentral is "partial 16S ribosomal RNA". It matches the Rfam family "Bacterial small subunit ribosomal RNA", at positions 524 to 776 of the family's 1533-position model. The record is from RNAcentral.